UCCAGUUGCAGACUUUUUAGAACUCGGUCUAUUUUUACGGUUAUUUUUCACAUUUUCUGAAUGGAAAUUUAACUUGAAAGUAGGGAUCUCCGAGGGCUAUUUAGUUUGAAAGAAUCUCUUUGAAGCUGAAAAUUCUUUAUUGAGGUGUUUCUUUAAAGGAAAGGUGUUUGUUGCGGAGCUGCUCCUGGAGGAGAUCGGGUAUUGCUGAGCGCAGUUCAAUUCUAUUGUAGCAGAGGAGG
Long non-coding RNA from Leptopilina boulardi, 239 nucleotides. RefSeq lists it as uncharacterized. The record is from RefSeq and is a predicted model, not a curated record. The transcript has 3 exons. Lineage: Eukaryota; Metazoa; Arthropoda; Insecta; Hymenoptera; Figitidae.